AGUGAACGCUGGCGGUAGGCCUAACACAUGCAAGUCGAACGGCAGCACAGUAAUAGCGUGCUCUUACGGGUUGCGAGUGGCGGACGGGUGAGGAAUGCAUCGUGAUCUAGUUUUUCGGGGAGGAUAACGUAGGUAGACUUACUCUAAUACCGCAUAUGACGUUCGGUGGAAAGGAGGGGAACGUCUGACCGGGCGCGAUUGAAUUAGCCGAUGUGGUUUUAGAUAGUUGGCGGGCUAAAGGCCCACGAAGUCGACGAUCCGUAGCUCGUCUGAGAGGCUGAUAAGCGACACUGGAACUGAGACACGCUCCAUGCUCCUACGGGAGGCACCAGUCGCGAAUAUUGGACAGUGGGCGCAAGCAUGAUCCAGCCAUCCCGCGUGGGUGACGAAGGCCUUCCGGUUGUAAAGACCUUUUGUUGGGAGAGAAACGCAGCAGGUUGAUACCACGCUGUUCUGACGGUACCCAAAGAAUAAGCACCGGCUAACUUCGUG
Molecule: ribosomal RNA, 492 nt
Filed under: uncultured bacterium
Lineage: Bacteria
Description: partial 16S ribosomal RNA
Rfam family: Bacterial small subunit ribosomal RNA
Source: RNAcentral